UGAAGUAGAGCUUGUGUAAGUGUCUUAUUUACAUUAAGAAGAAAUAAUUAUUAUUAUUGCUUUAA
Molecule: transfer RNA, 65 nt
Filed under: Pseudocellus pearsei
Lineage: Eukaryota; Metazoa; Arthropoda; Arachnida; Ricinulei; Ricinoididae
Description: tRNA-Val
Source: RNAcentral